UCAAGAAACUUCCACAAUGGGCGAAAGCCUGAUGGAGCGACGUCGCGUGAUGGACGAGGUGCUUCGGCACGUAAACAUCUUUUAUGUGGGAUGAAAUUAUUGACAGUACCAUAUGAAUAAGGGGCUCCUAACUCUGUGCCAGCAGGAGCGGUAAUACAGAGGCCCCAAGCGUUAUCCGGAAUCACUGGGCGUAAAGGGUGUCGAGGCGGUUGUAUUAGUCGUUCGUAAAAUCUACGAGCUUAACUUGUAGGCGGCGAACGAAACGGUACGACUUGAGGUUUGGAGAGGUGCGUGGAACUCACGGUGUAGGGGUGAAAUCCGUUGAUAUCGUGGGGAACACCAAAGGCGAAGGCAGCGCACUGGCCAAAAUCUGACGCUCACACACGAAAGCUAGGGUAGCGAAGAGGAUUAGAUACCCACGUAGUCCCUGAGCGGGCUGGCAAGGCGCAU
Molecule: ribosomal RNA, 450 nt
Filed under: uncultured bacterium
Lineage: Bacteria
Description: bacterial SSU rRNA
Rfam family: Bacterial small subunit ribosomal RNA
Source: RNAcentral